This 428-nucleotide ribosomal RNA is filed under the name uncultured bacterium. RNAcentral describes it as "bacterial SSU rRNA". It matches the Rfam family "Bacterial small subunit ribosomal RNA", at positions 355 to 774 of the family's 1533-position model. The record is from RNAcentral.
UGGGGAAUAUUGGACAAUGGGGGGAACCCUGAUCCAGCCAUGCCGCGUGUGUGAAGAAGGCCUUUUGGUUGUAAAGCACUUUAAGUGGGGAGGAGGCUCUCUUGGUUAAUACCUGAGAAGAGUGGACGUUACCCACAGAAUAAGCACCGGCUAACUCUGUGCCAGCAGCCGCGGUAAUACAGAGGGUGCGAGCGUUAAUCGGAUUUACUGGGCGUAAAGCGCGCGUAGGUGGUUAAUUAAGUCAAAUGUGAAAUCCCCGAGCUUAACUUGGGAAUUGCAUUCGAUACUGGUUAGCUAGAGUAUGGGAGAGGAUGGUAGAAUUCCAGGUGUAGCGGUGAAAUGCGUAGAGAUCUGGAGGAAUACCGAUGGCGAAGGCAGCCAUCUGGCCUAAUACUGACACUGAGGUGCGAAAGCAUGGGGAGCAAACA